GAUGAACGCUGGCGGCGUGCCUAAUACAUGCAAGUCGAGCGAACAGACGAGGAGCUUGCUCCUCUGACGUUAGCGGCGGACGGGUGAGUAACACGUGGAUAACCUACCUAUAAGACUGGGAUAACUUCGGGAAACCGGAGCUAAUACCGGAUAAUAUAUUGAACCGCAUGGUUCAAUAGUGAAAGACGGUUUUGCUGUCACUUAUAGAUGGAUCCGCGCCGCAUUAGCUAGUUGGUAAGGUAACGGCUUACCAAGGCAACGAUGCGUAGCCGACCUGAGAGGGUGAUCGGCCACACUGGAACUGAGACACGGUCCAGACUCCUACGGGAGGCAGCAGUAGGGAAUCUUCCGCAAUGGGCGAAAGCUUGACGGAGCAACGCCGCGUGAGUGAUGAAGGUCUUCGGAUCGUAAAACUCUGUUAUUAGGGAAGAACAAAUGUGUAAUUAACUAUGCACGUCUUGACGGUACCUAAUCAGAAAGCCACGGCUAACUACGUG
This 497-nucleotide ribosomal RNA is filed under the name uncultured bacterium. RNAcentral describes it as "partial 16S ribosomal RNA". It matches the Rfam family "Bacterial small subunit ribosomal RNA", at positions 28 to 507 of the family's 1533-position model. The record is from RNAcentral.